RNAcentral lists this ribosomal RNA (324 nucleotides) under uncultured eukaryote. RNAcentral's name for it is "partial 18S ribosomal RNA". It matches the Rfam family "Eukaryotic small subunit ribosomal RNA", at positions 1470 to 1796 of the family's 1831-position model. The record is from RNAcentral.
CCCUUAGAUGUUCUGGGCCGUACGCGCGCUACACUGAUGCAUUCAACGAGUUUCUUCCUGGUCCGAGAGGAAUGGGUAACCUUUUGAAAAUGCAUCGUGAUAGGGAUAGACUAUUGCAAUUAUUGGUCUUCAACGAGGAAUUCCUAGUAGACGUAGUUCAUCAGACUGCAUCGAUUACGUCCCUGCCCUUUGUACACACCGCCCGUCGCUCCUACCGAUUGAAUGCUCAGGUGAGCCAUUCGGACUUUCAUCAUGCUGGUUUCCAGUUUUGAUGAAGGAAAGUCUUGCGAACCUUAUCAUUUAGAGGAAGGAGAAGUCGGAACA